Chelonia mydas (Green sea turtle) is the source of this 102-nucleotide non-coding RNA. The record is from Rfam. NCBI's taxonomy places the organism in Eukaryota, Metazoa, Chordata, Testudines, Cheloniidae.
ACUCCCUGCUUAGAGCUCACUACAGUUGGAAUGAUAGAGAGAAGAUUAGCAUGUCCCCUGUGCAAGGAUGACACACAAAUUCAUGAUCUAAAGAUAGAGGUC